GCGGCAGGCUUAACACAUGCAAGUCGAGGGGCAUCGGGAGGGAAGCUUGCUUUCCUUGCCGGCGACCGGCGCACGGGUGAGUAACACGUAUGCAACCUGCCCUCUUCAGGGGGACAACCUUCCGAAAGGGAGGCUAAUCCCGCGUAUAUCGGUUUCGGGCAUCCGAGAUCGAGGAAAGAUUCAUCGGAAGAGGAUGGGCAUGCGGCGCAUUAGCUAGACGGCGGGGUAACGGCCUACCGUGGCGACGAUGCGUAGGGGUUCUGAGAGGAAGGUCCCCCACACUGGUACUGAGACACGGACCAGACUCCUACGGGAGGCAGCAGUGAGGAAUAUUGGUCAAUGGGAGAGAUCCUGAACCAGCCAAGCCGCGUGAGGGAAGACGGCCCUAUGGGUUGUAAACCUCUUUUGUCGGAGAACAAAACCCGGGACGAGUCCCGGACUGCGUGUAUCCGAAGAAAAAGCAUCGGCUAACUCCGUGCCAGCAGCCGCGGUAAUACGGAGGAUGCGAGCGUUAUCCGGAUUUAUUGGGUUUAAAGGGUGCGUAGGCGGUCCGUUAAGUCAGCGGUAAAAUUGCGGGGCUCAACCCCGUCGAGCCGUUGAAACUGGCAGACUUGAGUUGGCGAGAAGUACGCGGAAUGCGCGGUGUAGCGGUGAAAUGCAUAGAUAUCGCGCAGAACUCCGAUUGCGAAGGCAGCGUACCGGCGCCAGACUGACGCUGAGGCACGAAAGCGUGGGGAUCGAACAGGAUUAGAUACCCUGGUAGUCCACGCAGUAAACGAUGAAUGCUGGUUGUCCGGGUCGAAUGAGACCUGGGCGGCGAAGCGAAAGCGAUAAGCAUUCCACCUGGGGAGUACGCCGGCAACGGUGAAACUCAAAGGAAUUGACGGGGGCCCGCACAAGCGGAGGAACAUGUGGUUUAAUUCGAUGAUACGCGAGGAACCUUACCCGGGCUCAAACGGGAGUGGAAUGGACCAGAGACGGUUCAGCCUACGGGCCGCUUCCGAGGUGCUGCAUGGUUGUCGUCAGCUCGUGCCGUGAGGUGUCGGCUUAAGUGCCAUAACGAGCGCAACCCCCGCCGGCAGUUGCUAACGGGCAAUGCCGAGGACUCUGCCGGGACUGCCGCCGCAAGGCGUGAGGAAGGCGGGGAUGACGUCAAAUCAGCACGGCCCUUACGUCCGGGGCGACACACGUGUUACAAUGGGCGGUACAGCGGGAAGCCAGGCGGCGACGCCGAGCGGAACCCGAAAGCCGUUCUCAGUUCGGAUCGGAGUCUGCAACCCGACUCCGUGAAGCUGGAUUCGCUAGUAAUCGCGCAUCAGCCAUGGCGCGGUGAAUACGUUCCCGGGCCUU
This 1350-nucleotide ribosomal RNA is filed under the name uncultured bacterium. RNAcentral's name for it is "bacterial SSU rRNA". It matches the Rfam family "Bacterial small subunit ribosomal RNA", at positions 39 to 1382 of the family's 1533-position model. The record is from RNAcentral.